RNAcentral lists this unclassified non-coding RNA (376 nucleotides) under uncultured bacterium. RNAcentral's name for it is "contains 16S-23S intergenic spacer region". The record is from RNAcentral.
UCCGGUUUGUCACCGGCAGUUUCAUUAAAGUGCCCAACUGAAUGAUGGCAAUUAAUGACAAGGGUUGCGCUCGUUGCGGGACUUAACCCAACAUCUCACGACACGAGCUGACGACAGCCAUGCAGCACCUAUAUAGCGGUUCUUGCGAAAAGGGAUGUUUCCACCCCGGUCCACUACAUUUCGAGCCCAGGUAAGGUUCUUCGCGUUGCGUCGAAUUGAACCACAUGCUCCACCGCUUGUGCGGGCCCCCGUCAAUUCCUUUGAGUUUCAGCCUUGCGGCCGUACUCCCCAGGCGGGGCACUUAAUGCGUUAGCGCCGGCACUCAGAGGGUCGCUCCCCCAAGCACCUAGUGCCCAUCGUUUACGGCGUGGACUAC